CCUACGGGAGGCAGCAGUGAGGAAUAUUGGUCAAUGGACGAGAGUCUGAACCAGCCAAGUAGCGUGAAGGAUGACUGCCCUAUGGGUUGUAAACUUCUUUUAUAUGGGAAUAAAAUGUUCCACGUGUGGGAUUUUGUAUGUACCAUAUGAAUAAGGAUCGGCUAACUCCGUGCCAGCAGCCGCGGUAAUACGGAAGAUCCGAGCGUUAUCCGGAUUUAUUGGGUUUAAAGGGAGCGUAGGUGGAUUGUUAAGUCAGUUGUGAAAGUUUGUGGCUCAACCGUAAAAUUGCAGUUGAAACUGGCAGUCUUGAGGACAGUAGAGGUGGGCGGAAUUCGUGGUGUAGCGGUGAAAUGCUUAGAUAUCACGAAGAACUCCGAUUGCGAAGGCAGUUCACUGGACUGCAACUGACACUGAGGCUCGAAAGUGUGGGUAUCAAACAGGAUUAGAUACCCCUGUAGUC
Molecule: ribosomal RNA, 460 nt
Filed under: uncultured bacterium
Lineage: Bacteria
Description: partial 16S ribosomal RNA
Rfam family: Bacterial small subunit ribosomal RNA
Source: RNAcentral